This is a non-coding RNA of Lentinus tigrinus ALCF2SS1-7, 88 nucleotides long. The record is from the annotation of a GenBank genome assembly. NCBI's taxonomy places the organism in Eukaryota, Fungi, Basidiomycota, Agaricomycetes, Polyporales, Polyporaceae.
UCCCGUUUAGCUCAGUUGGUAGAGCGCGUCACUAGUACUUCCGGAAUUCCCUAUGACGAGGUCAGUCGUUCGAGUCGGCUAAUGGGAA